GAAUGUAAUUUAAUGGUAAAAUCUUGAGCUCCAAACUCAAAAAUAUUAGUUCGAUUCUAAUCAUUCCC
This 68-nucleotide transfer RNA is filed under the name Synchytrium endobioticum. RNAcentral's name for it is "tRNA-Trp". It matches the Rfam family "tRNA". Rfam says of the family: Transfer RNA (tRNA) molecules are approximately 80 nucleotides in length. Their secondary structure includes four short double-helical elements and three loops (D, anti-codon, and T loops). The record is from RNAcentral. Lineage: Eukaryota; Fungi; Chytridiomycota; Chytridiomycetes; Synchytriales; Synchytriaceae.